Molecule: small nucleolar RNA, 126 nt
Organism: Esox lucius (northern pike)
Lineage: Eukaryota; Metazoa; Chordata; Actinopteri; Esociformes; Esocidae
Product: small nucleolar RNA ACA64
Source: Ensembl
ACAGUCUGAAAAUGACCCCUGGUAUUUGUUGUCAGGGGUAAGAUAACUGUGCCUAUAGUGAUGCGGCGCAUUAAGCUUAUUGCCUGCUCCGUGUAGCAGUGUGAUUAAACCCAUGCGCCCACAGAC